UACGAAGGGGGGCUAGCGUUGCUCGGAAUCACUGGGCGUAAAGGGUGCGUAGGCGGGUCUUAAGUCAGGGGUGAAAUCCUGGAGCUCAACUCCAGAACUGCCUUUGAUACUGAAGAUCUUGAGUUCGGGAGAGGUGAGUGGAACUGCGAGUGUAGAGGUGAAAUUCGUAGAUAUUCGCAAGAACACCAGUGGCGAAGGCGGCUCACUGGCCCGAUACUGACGCUGAUGCACGAAAGCGUGGGGAGCAAACAGG
Molecule: ribosomal RNA, 253 nt
Filed under: uncultured bacterium
Lineage: Bacteria
Description: partial 16S ribosomal RNA
Rfam family: Bacterial small subunit ribosomal RNA
Source: RNAcentral